CCCAUAUAAACAGAGCAGUUCUGAUGCUGGGGCCAGGCAACAAUAUCACCUGGCUGGAGAGUUGCUGAUAUCAUCUGGAGCAACAAGGCGUGGUGGGCAAGAACGCGGGCAGUUGGCCCAGGAACAGGUGGGCGGGCCACGGCAACAUCAGCCCCAAGCAGGCCCCCUGUUACAGAGCCCCUUGGACCCUGCUCUCCCUCUUCCUCCAUGUCAGUGUGACUUAACUCUCAUUCCAGCAUUUUAUACCAACAUCAAAUGUGUCCCCCAUUGGGUACAAUCUUGAUAAAGAAGCAUGGGUCAAGCUGAAUAGACUGAGAUCUGGAUAUGGACACUUCAAAACAACACUAUACAAGAAGAACAUGUUGGACAGCCCCCUCUGUGAAUGCGGUGCCCAGUAAACAGCACUUAAUUGAAAGCUGCAAUCUUUACAAAUGCCCAGACAGGGUACAUGGAAUCCACACACUAAGUGAUAAUAAAAGACAAUGGUUUAUAGCUGACUGGAGGGAACAAGGGCAGUGGUUGGAAACAGACACUUUGCUGACUUGUCAGUGACAGCCCAAGGGGUGGGGUUGGCCCACUACUUGGGCAGACCACGUGAACUCUGGCCAAAGCUAACCUGUUGCCCCUUGAUUGGGGUGCCACAAAGCAACAUGGGUUGCCAGAGGAAUGCAACCUAACAUGAGGCGCAAUGGGAUCUGGUACACAUUUGUUAUGGCACUCUUACAGUGCUGAAGUUUGAUACCACAUCCAUCCAGGGUUAUCUUAGAGUGGGAUCCACCAUUUUUACAGUGCUCUAUGUGUUUUGACCAUCUGUUUGGUUACGACUGUAAAAGCACUUUCUGCUCGCCUACUGUGCAAUAAGUGUAACUUCUGUAUAUGGCCUGAGAUUUCAAAGCUGUUUCUAUUCUGUAUAAAGACCAAACAGAAACCUUUAAAAAUUUUUCAUGAAUAAAAAAGAGAGCGGUUAUAAGGCAGAUUCACUUCAGAAUUGCUAAUAGGCCAGUGGUUAGAACAUUCAACUCUGCCAGCUACUGGCCUAAUGGCUAUUCCAGGGAUUUUGACUAGACAAUCCAUUCUGGAGUCCCACUUAAAGUGUUAGUAUUUUCAAAACUAUUAGGUGUCUACAAAAAAACUGAGGUUUUGAUGAAUUGAUAUCUUCUGAAAAAAACUCUUUUCAGAAGCUCUUCAUUUUUUUGUUUUGGAAUGAUGAAAUUACAAAAAAGUUUGGAAGUCUCAUUCCAAGAACAAAACAAAACAAAACAAAACAAAACAAAAAACCUCACAACAAUAGUAAGGAUUAUUUGUAUUUAAGUAUCUGAAUUGUGAAAUCUGUACAUUUGGAAUGACAAUUUCAUAACAGACUUUUUGUUUCAAGUCUUCCAGAAAUUCUGCUUCCAGUUGUCCAGCUAUACUCCAAGAACUGACUUUUUCUUUUACUUUUUACCUUUUUUCACACUUAUACUUUCCUUCACAGUUCAAAAUUGGGAGUGAAAAAAAACAGGAAAAUAAGUUGUCCAACCUAUUUUAAAUAUCAAUAUUUGAUCAAAAUUUUGAAACAAGUUUUUGGUUAAUUGUCCAUUUUCACCAGCUAUGUCACUUAUGUAGUAAUAAUAUUUUGUAUUUUCAUAGCUCCUUUCAUCUCAAGGGCUCAAUACUUCCACUUUAACACUGGUGAAGCCUAACCUGGAAUAUUGUGUCCCAUUUUGAGCACCACACUUCAACAAAGGUGUAGAAAAUUGUCAUGAGUCUAAAGUAGAACAGAAAAAAUUAUUAGCAGUUUAGGAAACACAACCUAUGAGAACGUUGGAAGAACUGUGAUUACUUAGGCUGCGGAAGGGGAGGCUGAAAGGAGAUUUAAUAGCAGUGUUGAAAUAUAUGAAGGGUAGUAGUAAAAAAGAUGGGGCUAUAUUAGUCCCUGAAUCCAAAAGGAACAGAAAAAGGAGAAAUGGUCUGAAUUUGAAAUGAGGAACUUAGGUGGGAUAUUAGGAAGAACAUCACAACUAUUGGGGUGGUUAAGCACUGGAACAGAUUAUUUGAGAAGUAGUGGAAUUUCUACCCUUGGAAAAUUUUAAAGAACAAGUUAGGCAAGCACUUGGCCAGGAUAGCUUAGAGAAUCUUGAGUAGGGGGUUGGACUACAUGACCCUCUGAGAUACCUUUUUGCUUAUUUUUUCCACCAUUCUAUUUUUUGAUAGAGUAUAGAGAAGGGAUUAAUUCAAAUCUGUUGAAGACAAUGGGAAUCAUUUCGCUGAAUCACAGCCAAAAUGUCUUUAUUUUUCAGAUGUACUUUUGGUGUUCUAAACAGAUGUCUUAUUUUGAAUCAGCAAGAGCCCUGAGAGUGCAAGAUGCCCACAUCUGUCUCAUUUAGGAGAUAAUCUUUAAUUUGUCUGAGGUUUAUACUGGUAACUCUUCCAUGGGUCGAUUAAGAAACGAAAGGGUGGGUCACAGGUCUGUAAAAUUUAAUGUUAGUGGCAUAUCAUUUUGAUCUUUUGAGUAGGUGGCCAUUUGAGAGGCAUCACCACUCAUGCAGAAAGAGUCAAAACUCAGUUGUACAGAAGAGCUCAUGAGAUAUUCAAAUCCCAUGGUAAAGCUGCCAAACUAAUGGAACACAGUAUAGCCCAAAGACCUACAGGAUCAUAUUUUAAACGGUUGUCUCUUCUGUGUGAAGAUCAUCUAAAACUGGCAGUUUACAAGGGCGGAGCUUAUUUUGGAAGUCAACCUUAGAAGUACACCCUUCUGUGUUUGUUGUUGGUGUUUGUUUUUUCCCUGAGCUAAUAUUGGUUCUGACUCUGCUUAUAAAAUUCUAUUAGCAUACGCUUACAUUUUUAAGACUGUAAAUCCCUUUCUUGCAAAGUUAUGCAAGUAUUUAAUUCGUGUCACAGAAGCAACUUCAUUAACAUUAAUGAGCCUUGUCAUAUGCCUAAAAUAAAGUGACUGAAUACUUGUUUUUAGAAUUGGACCUCUUGUCUACAAAGGGUCAAAUGAUGAAUUCUGCCACUUAAGCAUGCUGUCACUGAAAAAGAAUGAAGAAUUCAUAUAAGAGAAGAAUGGAAAAAAAUAAAAUAAAUGAUAGAUCAUGUGGUUAUGUGAA
Alligator mississippiensis (American alligator) is the source of this 3089-nucleotide long non-coding RNA. RefSeq lists it as uncharacterized. The transcript is spliced from 3 exons. Lineage: Eukaryota; Metazoa; Chordata; Crocodylia; Alligatoridae. The record is from RefSeq and is a predicted model, not a curated record.